AAAAGUUAUAUAUAUGGAUAUGUGGAUAU
This 29-nucleotide non-coding RNA is filed under the name Cricetulus griseus (Chinese hamster). The record is from RNAcentral. Lineage: Eukaryota; Metazoa; Chordata; Mammalia; Rodentia; Cricetidae.